ACCCAAAUUCAUAUGUGUGCACACUGCUUCUCUCCCAGGUGUGUUUUUGCCAUCUGGAUACACAAGGCUUGCUCACUGGUGGCCAGUGGACAUGCAGACAUGACCAAGAAAUGAGUGUUCCUCUGCUGCUCACAGCAAUUGCAAUUCCUUGUUUUGGCCUUCUGAUUUCAAGAGCCAGGGGUGUGUGGGUCAUAGGCUUCUUUGGUUAGUUCUCACUGCUGAGAGUGAGAUUAAUCCUUAUUUGAUUUUCAGGAUGACAACAGAAAAACUGGAGAGGGAGCAGAAAAGUGCAAGGCAGUGUCUGUGGAGAAAGCGUUUAGGAUGCACACAAAUCCAUAGGUAUUAUAAAUGUAGGAUGAUGGCAGAUGUAUGAAGACACCUCUUCUCUGCCACUUAUGUGCGCACACACAGCCUGAUUGCAGGUACUGAAUCUUAAAUUGUACUUGUAAGCGCUCAGGAAUGAGUAGGAUGUUUAGCUCCUGUUUCCUGUCACUUCAUUCCUCACUCAGAAAAUGACUGUGGAUGAGAAAACAAAGCAAGUUAUUGCACAGAACUGUCCUCCCUUCAGCUGCAGCCCCAUUUGCAUGUGUGCCAAGCAGCUUGAGGAAAAUGCUCUCCAAGGUUUCCUGCUGUGAGCAGUAGUCUCAGCAUCUCAACUGGCCUCUGCAUUUUGAUGACUCUGUUACAAGAAGCUUUUUCUCCUGACAGACUUUGGACGCACAUAAAGCUCAGUUUCAGUCUCAAGUUCCUGCAUCAGCCCAGAAUUAAAUUGGGAGAGGCUGCAGCUGUUACCUACGCAGAGAAGGAAUUUCACCUAACCACAAAGAAUGAGAUAGACAAAUAGCUGCGUUGUCGUAAGAACGGCUCGGGUAUGUCUCCUCGCAGCGAUUUCGCUCCAUAAUUGCAAUUCACAUUAAAUGCAGCAAAUGUUACCAUCCUGCCCACUCAGUUUCCACCUCUACUUUUGUUUCAAGCCGGGAGGGGAGAUCACCAGAAAAGAGA
Molecule: long non-coding RNA, 1002 nt
Organism: Zonotrichia albicollis (white-throated sparrow)
Lineage: Eukaryota; Metazoa; Chordata; Aves; Passeriformes; Passerellidae
Source: Ensembl